RNAcentral lists this ribosomal RNA (561 nucleotides) under Triticum aestivum (bread wheat). Its description in RNAcentral is "partial small subunit ribosomal RNA". Lineage: Eukaryota; Viridiplantae; Streptophyta; Magnoliopsida; Poales; Poaceae. The record is from RNAcentral.
AUGUGCAGAAAGGGGGAAUUUGUAAUCUCGGCAAUGGUUAGAUCUCUGGCUGAUGACAAAAUCUGGAAAGUUUCUUCUAUGUAUGGGCCACAGGAGGUCGAAGACAAAAUCAGGUUUCUGGAGGAGCUGGCACAUCUAGGCCAGCAGGUUCAAGUACCCUGGAUUAUCAAUGGGGAUUUCAAUCUGGUGAGCAAGGAGGAGGAGAGAAGCACUCGAAGGAUCAAUAGGAGGACUGCAAACAAGUUUAGGCACACCUUGAAUAGCCUUGGUCUGCAUGAUAUGCCUCUGGCAGGCAGAUGCUUCACUUGGUGCAAUGGUCAAGAGCAGACAGUUAUGGCACGUCUAGAUAGGCUGCUGUUUAAUAAUGAAUGGGAAGAUCUAUUCCCGAUCAGCGACCUGACACCCCUAAGCUCGAACAUCUCGGAUCACUGCCCCCUUCUACUCUCGGUCUCCAGGAAACGUCCACGAGCACACAGAUUCAGGUUCGAAAACUUCUGGUGCAAAAUUCCGCGUUUUUUGGAGGUGGUUCGAGAGGCUUGGGAGGAGACAGUCAACAGUUAG